CCUGCCUUGUACUUCAUGCAGGUUGAACAGAAAUGUUUUCUAAGCAUGUAUUGUUACAGCCCUCUGAGAUGGUAUAAAAGAAUGAAAGAAGACAUGACCUGCCUUCCACGAGUUUCACAAAAGAGAUGGGAUGAACACAGUGUUCACUUCCACCUUCCACCCUUUCACUAUGAAGGACCCUCACCAGAUGGUGGCACCAUGCUCUCGGACUUCCCAGCCUCCAGAACUAAAAUAAUAUGGCCCAGUUCCUGGCUUUUGAAGAACUAGAGAAAAUCAUCAUCAUUGGUGCCUCCAAGGCUCUUUGGUUGGUUCUGCAAUCAUAGGAACCCUUACCUGGUCUCCUGAGACAUUCACCUCUCUCCACACCCUAGUACAACACCACCCACACACCUGAUGGCAGAGCUUUUAGGUGAGCUUCUCCAUCUUCUGGCUUAGAGUUACCCAGGAAUAAAGAAUAGCUCCUGUAGCUCUGAAUCCUUCAAAUCCCCCGAUUGGCCCUUAACUGACUUCCUUAGUGAAUCUGCAGACUUUUGGAUGGGAGACAAAUAGGCACAAACUAUACCUACAAUUCAAUGUAGGACAAAGGCUACCUGGUACAAUAUUAAUAUGUGCCUGCAUUGGAGAUUUUGGAAUCUUAGGACUUAAAGAAGGGUCUAAUUCAAUUACCUCGGUUCCAGAUGAGAAAAUGAAGGCCCAGAAAAGCAAGUGAUUUGCCUAAGAUCUCACAGUGACCAGUGAAGGACCAGAGCUGGACUAGGCUCUCCCGUCAGCAGUUAGGGCUCUUCCCAGUGUCCUUCCUCCUCUACAUGCUACUUGCCCUUCACUUUACAGAGUCCUAUCUUCUGCAGGGAAAUGCAUUGAUACAGUCCCCUGUGCUUUGAUCUUGGUGUUACAGUUACAUCUCUAGAGGAUUCUUACAUACCAUAGUAUGUUUCACAUUUGGUCAUCAUUGGAACUCUCUGUUUUUCUGUGCUCUUGCCUGGACUUCUUUCAAAAGGAAUCUAUUCAUUAACAAAUCUUUCAGAAAAAAAAAUGUCUGCAGCAUUAUCAGAAGUUAAUCAUUUAAAUCUAAAGGAGAGAGUAAAAGGUUAGGUAUAGUGGAUUAAAGAGUUCUUUUUUCGAAUGGGCGCGGUGGCUCACGCCUGUAAUCCCAGCAUUUUGGGAGGCUGCGGUGGAUGGAUCAUCUGAGGUCGGGAGUUCGAGACCAGCCUGACUAACAUGGUGAAAGCCUGUCUUUACUGAAAAAUGCAAAAAUUAGCCGGGCAUGGUGGUGCACGCCUGUAAUCCCAGCCACUCGGGAGGCUGAGGCAGGAGAAUUGCCUGAACCCGGGAGGCAGAGGUUGCAGUGAGCUGAGAUUGUGCCAUUGCACUCCAGGAUGGGCAACAAGAGUGAAACUCCGUCACAGAAAAAAAAAAAAGAGUUCUUUUUUCCAGCUGAAGAUAGUCAAGCGGGUUGUUUUCUACUGUCUUCCUUGGAAAGCGUCUGCUUUCUUGACCUGUCCUCCAAUUCUGCAUAUUUGAACCAGAUUGAUUGAGGGACACUGGGAUGAUUUUGAAAGUCCUCCUGCAUGGCAUCUCACAAUUUCUCAGGGACGGGUAAAUUGAAGGAAGCAAAAAGCAGACAAGUUCUAUGGGAUUUGCUGGCAUUGAUUUCCCAGGGUGGCAAAGUGCUAAGAACUAAACCUUUAAAGCUAACAAAAUGUACUGAUGUCUUUGCAAAGUAUCCAAGACCAACAAGAAAGUAAUUUCCCACCUCAGCCUACCACCACCCAGAAAAGGAGCACAGAGAUGGGGGAGAGAGUGGCUGCAUCUGGCAUUCAGCCAGAGGAGUCCGUGCAGGGAUUCUGGAUCCCUCUUCCCCCACCCCACUGCCCUUCCCCCUCCACCCCAGCAUUUUGGAGAAGCAAGAAACUGUAAUGAUGCAGCUCCCUCAAGUGUCACAUGAACAUAGUGGAAAGAGCCUCCUGAGGUAAAUAUGCCAUGCAGACAGAAACAAGCAAUGGCUCAACAGCAAUGUAUGAGGUCCAAGGACCAGGACCAAAGGGAAAACAGCCAUCUCACCAGACACCUGCCUAGGACCAGAUGCGUCAUCUCCAAUAUUAGCUAACUCCCUGGAACCUGGACUCAAGGUGUGAAAUAAAGGCUAAUGGGAAACCGCAGGAGUCAAAAGGAGGGGGCAGGAUUAUUGAGGAUUCAGGCUGUUGAGAAAUGAAAGUUUGGAUCACUCCCCAGAUAAAGAACCUUGACCAUUUAAGGGCAAUGGAAAUAUAGAAUAGGCAGUAGAAGAAGGAAGCCAUAGAUACCAACUAUGGCCUCUCAAUCAAUUACAAAACUGAGAAUUCUGACAGUUUUGUGUAUUUCCUCUUUGCAUGUGAUGUAUAUGUGUGUAUUUGUAUAUAUUAACCAUUUUCCUUUUUCUCUCCUUCUCAUUAUUUUGUGAAAGUUGUUGAAUGUAAACUCGACAAUUUAGCCUUUAGGUAAGAGAAUAUUCAGUGGGACUUUGAUUUGAGGAGUAUUUAAGACAGCCAGAUGAGACUACGAUAACUGUUGGAACUGUGUGUCUCCUCAUUUGGGGAAAGGGGUGAGAACUCUGCAUUUCUCUGAAGAACAGAGUUGACUUUGUGUUAUAGAGAGUUCAAAUAUAUAUAAAAUGAUGCAUGUGGAAGCUAAGAAGCCAAAGGAGUUCACCAAGACAGUUAUCAGUAUAUUGCCUCUCCGCUCCAAAUCCACCCUUCUUUGCCCUGUUGCAUGAUACUAAUCUGGCUCCUCGGUCAGCCAGUGCAAUGUCAUCUGUUGCUGGUAGAGUGUAGGGGAGACACUACAAGGUAUAGUAAAGGGGUCAGAUGCGGUGUCUCAUGCCUGUAAUCACAGCCCUUUGGGAGGCAGAGGCAGGAGGAUCACCUGAGGCCAGGAGUUUGAGACCAGCCUGGACAACAUGGUAAAACCCCAUCUCUACUAAAAAUACAAAAUUAGCACGCACCUGUAAUCCCAGCUACUCGGGAGGCUGAGGCAGGAGAAUCACUUGAACCUGGGAGGUGGAGGUUGCAGUGAGCCAAGAUCGCAUCAUUGCACUCCAGCCAGGGAAAAAACACAAAACUCUGUCUCAAAAAAAUAAAUAAAUAAAAUAAAAUAAAACAAGGUAUAGCAAAUAAAGGAGCAUUCCUUCUUGAUUCUUCCUGGUUCUUGUUACCUGUGGCCGCCACCAGUGGUGUAUGGGAGAGUCACCCUACAGUGAGUUCCACCAGCACCUAGUGAGGGCUUCCUACUGAGUUUUAUUGUCACCCAAGCAGGCAAUUUCCUUGCCAGCAGUAUGCAGGAGACCCAGUGAUGACCACCUUCCAGUGGGUUUUUCCAGCACCCUAGAAGGCACUUUUUUGACCACAGUGCUGAUCCACUGGCACCCAACAGCCAGUACCCUACUCACCAGGCCUGGCCUGUGGCACCUCAAAGAACUUUUCUAUCGUGUGGGCCACAGCACCACUCUCCAACAAGGUCUGAAUCUCAGCCUUGAGGUGUGAAAGACCCUUCCAUGUUUGUUCUUUUCUUGGGUAUCCUCCCUCAGUCCUAGAAGUAGCAGCUCUUCCCUAUGUUUGCUAUUUCUGUGUUAUUUAGCAUACAAUUUACCCCUUUUGUAGUUUAUCACAUUUUGCCAGUUAAUAAUUCUUUAUAGUAAAUUUUCCCUCUUCAAAUUACUAUCUCUCACCAAACACUGACUUCUAUAUCCUCCUCAGACGCUGAGUGACACAACCCCCUUCAGAAAAGAAUCCCUUUCACCCUGCCCUUCAUGAUGAACACUCUCAACAAAUUAGGUAUAGCAGGAACAUACCUUAACAUAAUAAAGGCCAUAUAUGGCGAGCCCACAGCUAACAUCAUACUGAAUGGGGAAUAACUGAAAGCCUUUCCUCUAAGAACUAGAAUAAGACAAGGACACCUACUCUCAGCACUCUUAUUCGGCAUUAUACUGGAAGUCCUAGCCAGACUUUCUCUUUCCGGAAAGAGAAAGAAAUGAAAGGCAUCCAAACUGGAAAACAGGAUGCCAGCUAGGUGUGGUGGCUCAAGCCUGUAAUCCCAGCAAUUCGGGAGGCUGAGGUGGGCAGAUCGCUUGAACCCAGGAGUUCAAAUCCAGACUAGACAACAUGAUGAAACCCUGUCUCUAUGAAAAAUACAAAAAUUAGCCAGGUGUGGUGGCACACACCUGUAGUCCCAACUACUCAGGAGGCUGAGGUGGGAGGAUCACUUGAGCCUGGGAAAUAGAGGAUGCAGUGAGUCAAGAUCACACCAGAGCACUCCAGCCUGGAUGACAGAGAGAGAUUCCAAUUCAAAAAAACAAAGGAAGAAGCCAAAUUGUCUCUACUUCAGAUGACAUGAUUUUACAAAUUCAGUAAUGUUACAAGACACAAAAUGAAUAUAAAAAAUCAGUUGUGUUUUUAUACACCAAUAACCAACUAACUGAAAAAGAAAUCAAGAAAGCAACCUCAUUUAUAACUUCAAAAAAGUCUCAGGGAUAAAUUUAGCCAAGGAGGUGAAAGAUUUCUAUGAAAGCCAAAACAAAACAAAACAAAAAACGCUACACCCUGAUGAACAAAAUUGAAGAGGAUACCAAAAAAUAGAAAGACAUAUUAUGCUCAUGAAUUGGAACAAUUAAUAUUGUUAAAAAUGACUAUAAUACCCAAGGUAAGCUAUAGAUUUAAUGCAAUUCCUAUCAAGAUACUAAUGACAUUCUUUGAAUCAAUAGAGAAAACAAUCCUAGAAUUCACAUAGAACCAUAAAAGAGCCCAAAUAGCAGCAAUACUCAGUAAAAAGAACAAAGCUGAAGCCAAUCACACUAACACAUUUCAGAAUAUACUACAAAGCUAUAGCAACCAAAACACUAUGCUAUUGGUAUGAAAACAGAUACACAGACCAAUGGAACAGAAUAGAGAAUCCAGAAAUAAAUUCACAUAUUUACAGCCAGCCAAUUUUUGACAAAGUUGCCAGGAACAUACACUGAGGAAAGGACAUUCUUUUCAAUAAAUUGUGCUAAGAAAACUGGAUAUUCACAUGCAGAAGAAUGAAACUAGACCUCUAUCUCUCACAAUGUAUAAAAAUCAAUUCAAAAUGGAUUAAAGACUUAAAUACAAGACCUGAAACUAUAAAACUACUAAAAGAAAACAUAGAGGAAAUGCUUCAAGAUAUUGAUCUAGGCAAAGAUUUUAUGGCUAAGACUUCAAAAGCAGGGGCAACCAAAACAAAAAUAGACAAAUGGAACGACAUUAAACUAAAAAGCUUCUGCGCAGGAAAGGAAACAAUCAACAGAGUGAAGAGAUAACAUGAACAAUGGGGAAAAAAUUGCUAACUAUUCAUCCAACAAGGGACUAAUAUCCAGAAUAUACAUAGAACUCAAACAACUCGACAGCAAAGAAUCAAAUAAUCUCACUAAAAAGUGAGCAAAGGACAUGAAUAGACAUUUCUAAAAAGACAAACAAAUGGCUAACAGGUUUAGGAAAAACUGCUCAACAUCACGGAUCAUCAGGAAAAUACAGAUCAAAACCACAAUGAGAUACCAUCUCACCCCAGUUAGAAUGGUCAUUAUCAAAGUCAAAAAAUAACACAUGCUGGUGAUUAUGUGGAGAAAAGGGAACUCUUUAUGCAUUGUUGGGAAUGUAGAUUAGUACAACUACUAUGGAAAACAGUAUGAAAGUGUCUUUAAAAACUAAAAAUAGAACUACCGUCUGACCCAGCAAUCCCACUACUGUCUAUCUGUCCAAAGGAGAGGAAAUCAAUAAAUCAAAGGGAUAACUGUACCCCCAUAUUUAUUGCUGCCCUAUUCACAAUAGCCAAGGUAUGAAAUCAACCUAAGUGUCCAUCAACAGAUGAAUGAAUAAAGAAAAUAUGGUAUAUAUACACAACAAAAUACUAUUCAGCCAUUAAAAAUGAAAUCUCGUCAUAUGCGGCAACAGAGAUGGAAUUGCAAGUCAUUAUGUUUAGUGAAAUAAACCAGGCACAGAAAAACAAGUAUCACAUGUUCCCACUCAUAUGUGGGAGCUAAAAAGUUGAUCUCAUGGAGGUAGGGAAUAGAAUGAUAGAUACCAGAGGCUGGGAAAGGGCUGGGGGGAUGAGCAGAGAUUGGUUAAUGGGUACAAACAUACAGUUAUGUGGAAGAAAUAAGUUCUAGUGUUUAAUAGCACAAUAGAGUGUCUAUAGUUAACAAAAAAUAUAUUGCAUAUUUCAAAAUAGCUGAAAGAGAAGAUCUGAAAUGUUCCAAACACAAAGAAAUAACAAAUGCUUGAGGUAAUGGAUUUUCUAAAUAUGCUGAUUUGAUCAUUAUAUACUGUAUGCAUGUAUCAAACUAUCACAUGUACCUGAUACAUACCAAUAUUAUGUAUUAAUAAAAAUUAAUAAAUAAUAAGUAAUAAACUUUAAAAAUAAUGUCCUUUAGAAAAGUUCUAAUUUUUUCCACAAAAACUGAUAGUGUUAAAAAAUUAUAGCACCUCAAAAAAGACCUUUCACAAAAUAGAUGCUCAGAAAAUUCAUUGAAUUUUUGCCAAAUAAUUAUAAUUGUAAAAUUCUCCUUUUGCAAGGCUGUGAAGAAAUUGGAAUCCUCAUGCCAUACUUACUGGUGAGAUUGUAAGAUGAUGCAGUCACUUUGCAAACAGUCUGGAAAUUCCUCAAAAUAUUAAACAUAGAGUCACCCUAUGACCCAGUAAUUCUAUUUCUAGAUAUGUACCCAAAAGAAAUGGAAACAUAAUGCCACACAAAAACUUGUUCACAAAUGUUCAUGGCAGCAUUGUUCAUAGUAGCCAAAAAGUGAAAACCAUCCAAAUAUUCAUCAGGUGAUGAAUGGAUAAAUAAAGAUGUGGAAUACACAUACAAUGGAAUAUUACUCAGCUAUAAAAGGGAAAGACACUUACAUAUGCUACAUGAUCAAUGUGAAAGCAUUAUACUAAGUGAAAGAAGCCAGAGCCAGUCACAAAAUACCACAUAUCGUAUGAUGCCAUUUAUAGGAAAUGUCUAGAAUAGACAAGUCUAUGAGGACAGAAAGUUGUUUAGUGGUUGCCUAGGACUGAGGGUACAGGGUGGCAAGAGGGAGCUGCCAGGAAUGCAACAUGCUAAUGAAUAUGAAGUUUCUUUUGGGGUUCUAACAUGUUCUAGAAUUAGAUGGUGGUGAUGGUUGCACAACUCUGUGGUUAUACUAAAUAAAUGAACUGUACACUUUAAAUAGAUCUAAAUGUAUGUAAAUUAUAUCAUAAUGUCUGGGAUUUAUUAAUUGCCUUUUAAAUGUGGCUUUAGUUCUGUCUGUAUACUUCAUGAAAUGUAUCAAAGUAAUGCUAAAAUAAAACCAAUAAUU
Molecule: long non-coding RNA, 7327 nt
Organism: Gorilla gorilla gorilla (western lowland gorilla)
Lineage: Eukaryota; Metazoa; Chordata; Mammalia; Primates; Hominidae
Exons: 5
Source: RefSeq, a predicted model, not a curated record